RNAcentral lists this ribosomal RNA (497 nucleotides) under uncultured bacterium. RNAcentral's name for it is "partial 16S ribosomal RNA". It matches the Rfam family "Bacterial small subunit ribosomal RNA", at positions 28 to 507 of the family's 1533-position model. The record is from RNAcentral.
GAUGAACGCUGGCGGCGUGCCUAAUACAUGCAAGUCGAGCGAACAGAUGAGGAGCUUGCUCCUCUGACGUUAGCGGCGGACGGGUGAGUAACACGUGGAUAACCUACCUAUAAGACUGGGAUAACUUCGGGAAACCGGAGCUAAUACCGGAUAAUAUAUUGAACCGCAUGGUUCAAUAGUGAAAGACGGUUUUGCUGUCACUUAUAGAUGGAUCCGCGCCGCAUUAGCUAGUUGGUAAGGUAACGGCUUACCAAGGCAACGAUGCGUAGCCGACCUGAGAGGGUGAUCAGCCACACUGGAACUGAGACACGGUCCAGACUCCUACGGGAGGCAGCAGUAGGGAAUCUUCCGCAAUGGGCGAAAGCUUGACGGAGCAACGCCGCGUGAGUGAUGAAGGUCUUCGGAUCGUAAAACUCUGUUAGUAGGGAAGAACAAAUGUGUAAGUAACUAUGCACGUCUUGACGGUACCUAAUCAGAAAGCCACGGCUAACUACGUG